RNAcentral lists this non-coding RNA (31 nucleotides) under Mus musculus (house mouse). The record is from RNAcentral. Lineage: Eukaryota; Metazoa; Chordata; Mammalia; Rodentia; Muridae.
CCCAUGCUCAUAUCAUGUGACCUACACCCAC